RNAcentral lists this transfer RNA (75 nucleotides) under Candidatus Collierbacteria bacterium CG10_big_fil_rev_8_21_14_0_10_44_9. Its description in RNAcentral is "tRNA-Ile". It matches the Rfam family "tRNA". From Rfam's summary of the family: Transfer RNA (tRNA) molecules are approximately 80 nucleotides in length. Their secondary structure includes four short double-helical elements and three loops (D, anti-codon, and T loops). Further hydrogen bonds mediate the characteristic L-shaped molecular structure. tRNAs have two regions of fundamental functional importance: the anti-codon, which is responsible for specific mRNA codon recognition, and the 3' end, to which the tRNAs corresponding amino acid is attached (by aminoacyl-tRNA synthetases). tRNAs cope with the degeneracy of the genetic code in two manners: having more than one tRNA (with a specific anti-codon) for a particular amino acid; and 'wobble' base-pairing, i.e. permitting non-standard base-pairing at the 3rd anti-codon position. Lineage: Bacteria; Candidatus Collieribacteriota. The record is from RNAcentral.
GGGCGCGUAGUUCAGUGGUAGAACGCUUUCCUGAUAAGAAAGAGGUCCAUAGUUCGAUUCUAUGUGCGCCCACCA